GACGAACGCUGGCGGCGUGCUUAACACAUGCAAGUCGAGCGGUAAGGCCCUUUCGGGGGUACACGAGCGGCGAACGGGUGAGUAACACGUGGGUGACCUGCCCUUAGCUCUGGGAUAAGCCUGGGAAACUGGGGUCUAAUACCGGAUAUGACUCCAUAACGCAUGUUGUGGGGUGGAAAGCCUUGUGCGGCUAGGGAUGGGCCCGCGGCCUAUCAGCUUGUUGGUGGGGUGAUGGCCUACCAAGGCGACGACGGGUAGCCGGCCUGAGAGGGCGACCGGCCACACUGGGACUGAGACACGGCCCAGACUCCUACGGGAGGCAGCAGUGGGGAAUCUUGCGCAAUGGGCGAAAGCCUGACGCAGCGACGCCGCGU
RNAcentral lists this ribosomal RNA (374 nucleotides) under uncultured bacterium. RNAcentral describes it as "bacterial SSU rRNA". It matches the Rfam family "Bacterial small subunit ribosomal RNA", at positions 28 to 402 of the family's 1533-position model. The record is from RNAcentral.